RNAcentral lists this ribosomal RNA (471 nucleotides) under uncultured bacterium. Its description in RNAcentral is "bacterial SSU rRNA". It matches the Rfam family "Bacterial small subunit ribosomal RNA", at positions 28 to 508 of the family's 1533-position model. The record is from RNAcentral.
GAUGAACGCUGGCGGCGUGCUUAACACAUGCAAGUCGAACGAAGAUGCCGGAGUGCUUGCACUUUGGCAGACUGAGUGGCGGACGGGUGAGUAACGCGUGGGUAACCUGCCUUAUACAGGGGGAUAACAGUUGGAAACGACUGCUAAUACCGCAUAAGCGCACGGUAUCGCAUGAUACAGUGUGAAAAACUCCGGUGGUAUAAGAUGGACCCGCGUCUGAUUAGCUUGUUGGUGAGGUAACGGCCCACCAAGGCGACGAUCAGUAGCCGGCCUGAGAGGGUGAACGGCCACAUUGGGACUGAGACACGGCCCAAACUCCUACGGGAGGCAGCAGUGGGGAAUAUUGCACAAUGGGGGGAAACCCUGAUGCAGCGACGCCGCGUGAGUGAUGAAGUAUUUCGGUAUGUAAAACUCUAUCAGCAGGGAAGAUAAUGACGGUACCUGACUAAGAAGCACCGGCUAAAUACGUAG